This 402-nucleotide ribosomal RNA is filed under the name Verrucomicrobiota bacterium. Its description in RNAcentral is "Verrucomicrobia bacterium partial 16S ribosomal RNA". It matches the Rfam family "Bacterial small subunit ribosomal RNA", at positions 355 to 776 of the family's 1533-position model. The record is from RNAcentral. Lineage: Bacteria; Pseudomonadati; Verrucomicrobiota.
UGGGGAAUUUUGCACAAUGGGGGAAACCCUGAUGCAGCGACGCCGCGUGAUUUAGAAGGCCUUCGGGUUGUAAAAAUCUUUUUUAUGGGAUGAAAAUGACAGUACCAUAAGAAUAAGGUCCGGCUAAAUACGUGCCAGCAGCCGCGGUAAUACGUAUGGACCGAGCGUUGUCCGGAAUCAUUGGGCGUAAAGGGUACGUAGGCGGCCCAGUAAGUUAGAAGUGAAAUAAUAUAGCUCAACUAUAUAAAGCGUUUAAAACUGCUAGGCUUGAGAGAUGGAAGGGAAAGUGGAAUUCCUAGUGUAGCGGUGAAAUGCGCAGAUAUUAGGAAGAAUACCGGUGGCGAAGGCGACUUUCUGGUCAUCAUCUGACGCUGAGGUACGAAAGCGUGGGUAGCAAACAGG